RNAcentral lists this ribosomal RNA (468 nucleotides) under uncultured bacterium. RNAcentral's name for it is "partial 16S ribosomal RNA". The stretch from base 20 to 335 matches the Rfam family "Bacterial small subunit ribosomal RNA", at positions 47 to 358 of the family's 1533-position model. The record is from RNAcentral.
GACGAACGCUGGCGGCGUGCUUAACACAUGCAAGUCGAACGGAAAGGCCCUGCUUUUGUGGGGUGCUCGAGUGGCGAACGGGUGAGUAACACGUGAGUAACCUGCCCUUGACUUUGGGAUAACUUCAGGAAACUGGGGCUAAUACCGGAUAGGAGCUCCUGCUGCAUGGUGGGGGUUGGAAAGUUUCGGCGGUUGGGGAUGGACUCGCGGCUUAUCAGCUUGUUGGUGGCGUAGUGGCUUACCAAGGCUUUGACGGGUAGCCGGCCUGAGAGGGUGACCGGGGACAGGGGGACGGGAAGACGACGGGGGGGCGAAGGGGUGACAAGAGCGGGGGGUGUGGGAGAAUGGGGCAAGGACGUAGGCAGCAGCGGGGGGGGGGGGGGGAGGGCAAUGGGGGUGGAAAGGGAUGAAGGCUCCGCCGCGGCGGGGGUGACGGUACUGGGUAAAGAAGCACCGGCUAACUAGGUG